Molecule: long non-coding RNA, 242 nt
Organism: Capsella rubella
Lineage: Eukaryota; Viridiplantae; Streptophyta; Magnoliopsida; Brassicales; Brassicaceae
Exons: 3
Source: RefSeq, a predicted model, not a curated record
GCUUUCUUCUCUCCUCACGAACACAUCUCUCAUUGCCUCAUCAUUACCAAAUCAUCAAAUCAUCUCUCAAAUUUUAGGGUUUUCUCUCUUUUUCUUACGAAAUUGUUCUUCGCUUCCUGAAUCAUCUCUCUAUCUGGUUUGAGGGUUUCGUUUGAUAUCUGGAAAAAGGGGUUUCUGGAAAUAAGGAAUUUCGUUAUUGGCGACCUGGAUCUAUCUUUUAUUUUUAUCAAAGCGUGAAUGAG